Molecule: non-coding RNA, 363 nt
Organism: Paramuricea clavata
Lineage: Eukaryota; Metazoa; Cnidaria; Anthozoa; Malacalcyonacea; Plexauridae
Source: the annotation of a GenBank genome assembly
CUUCUUGGAACAAUAUUUUGGCACAUACAAUCACUGGACUAACUAUUCCGAGAGGAUCAAAUAAACUUGCUAAAACACUCAAUAGAUUUCGCUUUGUAGGUGAUAAGGUUUUUGCCCUUUCCCCCACCUUCGCAAUCUCAAACUUAAACUCAUCGCUUUUGUUAUCCCAUGCCUGUCCUAACACCUUAUGGCAUUUUGAUUCACAUCCUGUUACUCCAAGGGAUGGUUUUGCAUAUGAUUAUGAUCCUCAACCAUGUGUUUUAUCUCACAUUGGUCUGUCUCAUGCACCUUAAUUUUACUUUCCAAUAUAUUACUGUUAGUAGACCACUUUCUUAGCCUGAACCCCCCUUGUGCCAUUCUACU